RNAcentral lists this ribosomal RNA (469 nucleotides) under uncultured bacterium. RNAcentral's name for it is "bacterial SSU rRNA". It matches the Rfam family "Bacterial small subunit ribosomal RNA", at positions 335 to 798 of the family's 1533-position model. The record is from RNAcentral.
UGCCUACGGGGGGCUGCAGUGGGGAAUAUUGCACAAUGGGCGCAAGCCUGAUGCAGCGACGCCGCGUGGAGGAUGAAGGCUUUCGAGUUGUAAACUCCUGUUACGUGGGAAGAAAGACUGUUGACUAAUAAUCAGCAGGGAUGACGGUACCACUAGAGAAAGCACCGGCAAACUUCGUGCCAGCAGCCGCGGUAAUACGAAGGGUGCAAGCGUUAUUCGGAGUUACUGGGCGUAAAGAGUAUGUAGGCGGUUUGUUAAGUUAGUUGUGAAAGACCACGGCUCAACCGUGGAAAGGCAGCUGAUACUGACUAGCUAGAGCGCAGAAGAGAGGAGUGGAAUUCCCGGAGUAGCGGUAAAAUGCGUAGAUCUCGGGAGGAACACCGGUUGCGAAGGCGGCUUCUUGGUCUGUGGCUGACGCUAAAGUACGAAAGCGUGGGGAGCAAACAGGAUUAGAUACCCCGGUAGUCAC